Molecule: long non-coding RNA, 1094 nt
Organism: Bombyx mori (domestic silkworm)
Lineage: Eukaryota; Metazoa; Arthropoda; Insecta; Lepidoptera; Bombycidae
Exons: 4
Source: RefSeq, a predicted model, not a curated record
GUUUCGCAUUACGUUGUUUUUAAUUUUUGGCUUUCGUUCGUUUUCGUAAUAAAUAAUCAUUCUCGCGAUUUCUCGUAACAGGUUCCAUUUUUAUUUUCAAGAAACCAACAGGUUUCGUAAAAAAAUACUCAUCUUUAGUAGGAAACAGCCUCAAAAAUAUCGUUUUUUAUUAAAAUAUCUCGAACAAUAAACAUAACCUAAAAUGUAGACAUUGUCUGAUUUUACCAAUUUGGCCAUUGCUGGGAGACCUGAAAAUUGGGCUCAUGAAACCUUCUUAGAAUCUACUGCUGAAUUAGAAACGCGACCCACUAAGAAGAUCCGUCCAGAAACUCAGUGGAUUGUGUGUCAGUGUCUGAGGGUUAAUUUGCUUACUGAAUCCUUCGAAAAGAAUGGCAACUGGUUCUUGAGGAUCACGUACGGUCAGGGGUAGCAACACGGUGCUGUUUUCUGUACGAUCGUAGAAGUGGUAGGAGGAGCCGAGGAUAUGCAGAAGUGGCACAGAAAAAUCCAGGAGAAACUUAUUCGAAGAGGCCACGACGCUCAGCGUUGAAGAUUAUCGACGCAAGGAAGAAGAGUAGUGCCCACAGAUAUCCACCGCUGGACUGCCUCCCCCAAGCCUAGCCACAACGACCGGUCCUGCGCUGCCGACGUCCAGCGGAUUCCCGCAACCUUCAACAGGUUGUCGGUUCACAUUGUGGGAGGCCUACCCACGCUACGUCUUCCAGUACGUGGUCGCCGCUCGAGAUUUCUCGGCCUCAGCAACAAUCUGUUUACGCGCAACGUGUCCUCUGCCCACAGCUACGUCAACCUCGCAAUUAUUUGGACUAUGUCGGUCACCAUGGUUUGCCUACGGAUAUCCUCGAAACUCCGAGCAUAUGCCUCUCCAUUGGUCUUCGGAUGACCUUGAGUCUUCUAUAAGGCCCAUUAUGAGCGAUCAAAUCUCAGUGCCAUAUCCCAUCAAUGACCCCACACAUUGGUCAAAGACUGUCGUCUUGAAAUACUAGUAUUUGUGAUGAGAACAUUCUAGAUAGCUUUCCGAACUCUCGCCAUCCGUAUUAUUUCAAGAUUAAAAAAUAAAGUUGUACUUCUUAAAA